UUGGAGGGCAAGUCUGGUGCCAGCAGCCGCGGUAAUUCCAGCUCCAAUAGCGUAUAUUAAAGUUGUUGCAGUUAAAAAGCUCGUAGUUGAAUUUCGGGGUUCUACCGUUGGUCGGGCUAUUGUCUGUACUGGCGUGUAGAAUUUCUACCUUCUGGGGAACUAUCAUGUUAUUAAUUUAGCGUGGUAGGAAACCAGGACCUUUACCUUGAAAAAAUUAGAGUGUUCAAAGCAGGCUUAUGUCUGAAUACAUUAGCAUGGAAUAAUAAAAUAGGACGGUGGUCCUGUUUUGUUGGUUUCUGAAUCACCGUAAUGAUUAAUAGGGAUAGUUGGGGGCAUUAGUAUUCAAUUGUCAGAGGUGAAAUUCUUGGAUUUAUUGAAGACUAACUACUGCGAAAGCAUUUGCCAAGGAUGUUUUCAUUAAUCAAGAACGAAAGUUAGGGGAUCGAAGACGAUCAGAUACCGUCGUAGUCUUAACCAUAAACUAUGCCGACUAGGGAUCGGAUGAUGUUAUUUUUAAUGACUCAUUCGGCGCCUUACGGGAAA
RNAcentral lists this ribosomal RNA (543 nucleotides) under uncultured Glomeromycotina. Its description in RNAcentral is "SSU rRNA". It matches the Rfam family "Eukaryotic small subunit ribosomal RNA", at positions 548 to 1097 of the family's 1831-position model. Lineage: Eukaryota; Fungi; Glomeromycota. The record is from RNAcentral.